This 76-nucleotide transfer RNA is filed under the name Salinisphaeraceae bacterium. RNAcentral's name for it is "tRNA-Met". It matches the Rfam family "tRNA". Rfam says of the family: Transfer RNA (tRNA) molecules are approximately 80 nucleotides in length. Their secondary structure includes four short double-helical elements and three loops (D, anti-codon, and T loops). Lineage: Bacteria; Pseudomonadati; Pseudomonadota; Gammaproteobacteria; Salinisphaerales; Salinisphaeraceae. The record is from RNAcentral.
GGCCACGUAGCUCAGCGGUUAGAGCACGGCAUUCAUAAUGCCGGAGUCGCUGGUUCAAAUCCAGCCGUGGCUACCA